This 479-nucleotide long non-coding RNA is filed under the name Malus domestica (apple). RNAcentral's name for it is "long non-coding RNA (MDOM_LNC019801)". The record is from RNAcentral. Lineage: Eukaryota; Viridiplantae; Streptophyta; Magnoliopsida; Rosales; Rosaceae.
AAGCAUGUACAUGGUUUCGAAUCACCCCCCAACCAAGGGGGUUUAGUUCCUCAUACUCACAACACAAAGUUUAUUGAAUUGAAACAUUAAAAACAUAAGAAAGAUCACACCUAAAAAUUCCAGCAAUCUAAAUUGCACAGCAGGAACGUCUAAGAACCUUCCUCCUCUUCCUUGGUUGCGGCCCAGGGGUUUGUGAUGGUUUUUGGGGGUUAUGGAUGGUGUAGAAUGGUGGAAAAGUGUGUAGGAUAGGUGUAUGGGACGGCUAGGGUGGUUUUGGGUCAGAAAAUAUGGUGAAUGAUGAAGGAUAGGUGCUGUUGAAGAUGGAGAAUGGUUUCUGGCGUGAAGGAUUAUUUUCUGGAUGAAUGGUCCCCCUUGUGGCUGCACAAGGAUGUUUAUUUAAAAGGAUUUAGGAAAUUAAAAACCCUAGGCUAAUUAGGUAAUCAGGAAUUAAGUUUAAAGCUUCUAGAAUUAAGGAAACA